GACGAACGCUGGCGGCGUGCCUAAUACAUGCAAGUAGAACGCUGAAGGAGGAGCUUGCUUCUCUGGAUGAGUUGCGAACGGGUGAGUAACGCGUAGGUAACCUGCCUGGUAGCGGGGGAGAACUAUUGGAAACGAUAGCUAAUACCGCAUAAUAGUAGAUGUUGCAUGACAUUUGCUUAAAAGAUGCAAUUGCGUUACUACCAGAUGGACCCGCGUUGUAUUAGCUAGUUGGUGAGGUAACGGCUCACCAAGGCAACGAUACAUAGCCGACGGGAGAGGGGAGUCGGCCAAACUGGGACUGGGACACGGGCCAAAACCCUACGGGGGGGAGCAGGAGGGGAUUUUCGGGAAAGGAAGGAAGGCUGACCGGGCAACGCCGCGGGAGGGAAGGAGGGGUUCGGAUCGUAAAGCUCUGUUGUAAGAGAAGAACGAGUGGGAGAGUGGAAAGUUCACACUGUGACGGUACCUUACCAGAAAGGGACGGCUAACUACGUG
Molecule: ribosomal RNA, 495 nt
Filed under: uncultured bacterium
Lineage: Bacteria
Description: partial 16S ribosomal RNA
Rfam family: Bacterial small subunit ribosomal RNA
Source: RNAcentral